GUGCUCACUUCAGCAGCACAUACACUAAAAUUGGAAUGAUAAACAGAAGAUUAGCAUGGCUCCUGUGCAAGGAUGACAUGCAAAUUUGUGAAGUGGUCUGUAUUAAA
Molecule: small nuclear RNA, 107 nt
Organism: Cynocephalus volans (Philippine flying lemur)
Lineage: Eukaryota; Metazoa; Chordata; Mammalia; Dermoptera; Cynocephalidae
Source: RefSeq, a predicted model, not a curated record